GAUGAACGCUAGCUACAGGCUUAACACAUGCAAGUCGAGGGGUAACGAGAGGAAAGCUUGCUUUCCUUGUCGACGACCGGCGCACGGGUGAGUAACGCGUAUCCAACCUGCCCCCAACUAGGGAAUAACCUUGCGAAAGUAAGACUAAUACCCUAUAAUUUCCUCAGAUGUCAUCUGACGAGGAAUAAAGAUUUAUCGGUUGUGGAUGGGGAUGCGUCUGAUUAGCUUGUUGGGGGGGUAACGGCCCACCAAGGCAACGAUCAGUAGGGGUUUUGAGAGGAAGGUCCCCCACAGUGGAACUGAGACACGGUCCAAACUCCUACGGGAGGCAGCAGUGAGGAUUAUUGGUCAAUGGGCGGAAGCCUAAACCAGCCAAGUAGCGUGCAGGAUGAUGGCCCUAUGGGUUUUAAACUGCUUUUAUACAGGAAUAAAGUUAGCCACGUGUGGUUAUUUGUAGGUACUGUAUGAAUAAGGACCGGCUAAUUCCGUGCCAGCAGCCGCGGUAA
Molecule: ribosomal RNA, 506 nt
Filed under: uncultured bacterium
Lineage: Bacteria
Description: partial 16S ribosomal RNA
Rfam family: Bacterial small subunit ribosomal RNA
Source: RNAcentral